UACAUCUCAGAAGCAAUUAGCUUACUGCAUACGGGAUGCAAUGUUGACGUUCGGAAACAUGGGCGAGAAAUAUUUUCGACGUGCGAACGUUACUAUGGAGAUCUACCGUGGUGUCAUACAUGAUACUGAGGUCUGCUUUCUGAAGAACGACCUCGUGCCCCGGGAUGGGAACAUUGCGUUGGC
This is a long non-coding RNA of Ornithodoros turicata, 183 nucleotides long. RefSeq lists it as uncharacterized. NCBI's taxonomy places the organism in Eukaryota, Metazoa, Arthropoda, Arachnida, Ixodida, Argasidae. The transcript is spliced from 3 exons. The record is from RefSeq and is a predicted model, not a curated record.